Molecule: non-coding RNA, 25 nt
Filed under: Rattus norvegicus (Norway rat)
Lineage: Eukaryota; Metazoa; Chordata; Mammalia; Rodentia; Muridae
Source: RNAcentral
UUGUAGGGCCAAGAGAAUGUCUGGG